AGUGAACGCUGGCGGUAGGCCUAACACAUGCAAGUCGAACGGCAGCACAGUAAGAGCUUGCUCUUACGGGUGGCGAGUGGCGGACGGGUGAGGAAUACAUCGGAAUCUACUUUUUCGUGGGGGAUAACGUAGGGAAACUUACGCUAAUACCGCAUACGACCUACGGGUGAAAGCAGGGAAUCUUCGGACCUUGCGCGAUUGAAUGAGCCGAUGUCGGAUUAGCUAGUUGGCGGGGUAAAGGCCCACCAAGGCGACGAUCCGUAGCUGGUCUGAGAGGAUGAUCAGCCACACUGGAACUGAGACACGGUCCAGACUCCUACGGGAGGCAGCAGUGGGGAAUAUUGGACAAUGGGCGCAAGCCUGAUCCCGCCAUACCGCGUGGGUGAAGAAGGCCUUCGGGUUGUAAAGCCCUUUUGUUGGGAAAGAAAAGCAGCAGGUUAAUACCCCGCUGUUCUGACGGUACCCAAAGAAUAAGCACCGGCUAACUUCGUG
This 492-nucleotide ribosomal RNA is filed under the name uncultured bacterium. RNAcentral describes it as "partial 16S ribosomal RNA". It matches the Rfam family "Bacterial small subunit ribosomal RNA", at positions 29 to 507 of the family's 1533-position model. The record is from RNAcentral.